Molecule: long non-coding RNA, 4201 nt
Organism: Oryza sativa Japonica Group (Japanese rice)
Lineage: Eukaryota; Viridiplantae; Streptophyta; Magnoliopsida; Poales; Poaceae
Source: RefSeq, a predicted model, not a curated record
CAUUCCUUUUUGGUGUGCACAUCUUAUCCCAUGCUACUGGAGGUAGCCUGUAUAUGCUUAUCCACAUCACAUCCAUGCCAAUGACAAUAUAGCAAACUGAUUUUAGUGGCCAAAAGAGUUCAUUUCUAAGGUCUUGUCGAUUGCCCAACAGCUUAUAAACUGCUACCUAAAUUUACAUUUUAAAACUUAAUUUUGAUAUAAUUUUAACGCUGUUUCUUUUCCAGCUUGGUUAUCUAGGACUUCAAGAAUGCAAAUAAAAAAUUACCUUUCAAGUUUUAGUCGCUAAUAAAUCGUAAUAGCUUAUGACGAGCUCUAUGCCGACCAAUGUAGACCCUAGCCACUCUAUGGAUUAAUUUGCACCGUGGAUCCGCAUUGGUCAUCCAUUCAUUCUUCAUUACCAAGAGCAGCUGAACCACGUCGGUCAUCCCACUACAGAAACGAUCUUUUUUUAUGCUAGUGCCCAAAACAUAAAUAUUUAGAUUAAAAACAGAUACUAAAGCAUCUUUAGUCCAAAUCCCUAGAAACAUCUUUAGUCCCGAUUGGUGUUAUCUCUGUUAAUAUUACCAACCAGUACUAAAGAUGUAUUUUUAGUAUCAGUUGGUAUCACCAACCUAGACUAAAGAUAUUUUUAGUAUCGGUUACUUACCAGUACUAAAGAUGUUUCCAGGGUUAGUUCAAUAAGAAAACAUCUCUAUCCAAGUCAGAUGUAUGUAGUAGGUGAGAUGAUAAUGCGCGUGAGAACUGAGGUGGGAGAUCUUGAGUUUAAAUCACACAUCCCACAUAUUAUUUUCGAUUUAGUAUGCAUCUUUUUUACCGGCUCUUUCAACCGGUACUUACAAAUACAACCGGUAAUAAAGGGGAUGUGAACCGGUUUUGAAGCUCCUUUUCUCCAGCGGUGAUCAGUUCAAGCAGAAGAGGCUGAAUUUUAUCCAUGUCGAUAUUUCUUAUGCUUCCCGUUGCUGUAAUAGUGUUGCCUAUGAUCUUGUUAAAAUGGGCGCUAGUUGGAACCCGGGUCAAUCCAUUGUUUGGGUCGACCCCCUCCCAGAUUCUGUAAAUGCCUUUGUGGUUCGUGAUAUCACUGAACCUGCUGGGUGAAUAAAAAGGCAUCGAUGAAGUUAAAAAAAAAAUGGGCCCAAAGCGUUGUGCUUGGUGGCAGGCAGCAGGCUGUAGUGGGGAUCCUCAAAUCAGCUCAUCCUGUGAAGAAAGAGCUAACCAAGGAGGACACACAACACAGUAUCCGAAUCUCGUGGGUGAUUCAUUUCAUCAAAACUAGAGCGGCUCGCAACUCAUGUGGCCUAUUUGAUAGAGCUCCAACUUCUAAAUUUAGCUUCGGAAGUUGGGUUUGAAAUGGAGUUGUGGAGCUGCCUAAACUCAGCUCCACAACUCUAGUUCAUUCUAUGAGAGAGCUCCACUCAACUGUGCUCCUAUUUUAAGUGGAGCUGAAACUGUUUGGCUGAGCUCCAGCUCUAGGAGAGAUGGAGCUAAAGCUGGAGCUGUGCCAAACAGACCCAAUGAAAAAUACUGGGAUCAAUGGUCAGCCAAAAACAUAAAAGUCUUUUAUACGUCCCCUGACUGUCCUCUCUUUUUAACUACUGCUAUCUCUAUUCUAAAAUAUAAUCAUUUUUGCAAAUGUUCAGAUAAAUUUUGGAAAAUGCAAAAAAAAACUUGUAUUUUGGAAAUUAUCUAUAUAUAUUUUUGAAAAUGUAUAGAAAAUGUUUAUAUUUUGGAAAGGAGGGGUAUUUAGGUGUAUAUCUAGUCAUGAAAAAUCCAUAGUAUAUUUGACAAAUACACACGUGUUGCAAUCGGUCAUGCGUUCUCGGGCAUUCGGUCGACUACAACCAGGUCAGGUGGGAGGACGUGGCAUUCGGCCUCGUUGCUAAGAAUCAAAUAUUCGGCGCCAUAUCAGCUAUACCCGGACCCAAAGGAGCUACUCCGAGCCAAACUUGGUUACCUGUUCUUCGAACCAAAAAAGGAGGGAGAAAGCGUUGUUGGGGGGGGGGGGGGGGCGGAGCCUCACGCAAGUGGCUUCGCUCAAGCAUCGGCGGUGGGGCGGUGAACGCGUAGUCCUCCAGCGACGAGGACGGGAGAUCGCCGGCCGGUGUCGUUGCCGCUCGACCGCCCAGUUGCCCGGCACCAUCACAGCUCAAGCCGCCCGCCGCCCACCGCCCGACACCAUCGCCGAUCGACCCGCCCGCCGCCCGCCGCCAUCUCUGCUCGACCCGCCCCGCCCGCAGCCCGGUGCCGCCGCGUUUCGGGCCGCCCCACCACCUGGCGCCGUCGCCGCUCGACCUGCCCGCCACCCGCCGCCCGUCGCGUCGCCGGGGCUCCUCCACCGCCGCCGCUGCGUGAGGAAGCUGGAGAAGGAGGCCGCGCUGGCGACGAAGGGGAGAGAGGAGAGAGGGCCGUGCCUCCAGAUCCGGAGCGCCGCGCCAUCCCCAACUCCCGCUAGCCGUUGAUCGGAAGAUAGGAGGAGAGGAGGAGAGAGAGGAGAGGAGCCGUCACCGGCGCUGCUUGGGCCACGCGACCACCACUUCGCUCGGUGCCGGCGCUCACCUCGCUUCCUCCACCGAGUAGUGGAGUUGAAAAGGUAAAGGAAAGAAUAAAGAAAACCAAUGCAGUGGAGUUGAAAAGGUAAAGGAGAGAGAUGGUGGGACCCACCACUACUUGUAGCUUGCAUUGUGGAGCAUGUGACUAGCACUGUUCUUGAUCUGUGUGGUAUGAGAGGACCGGUAUAAUUUGGUGGCACACUGUAAAUGGCCUCAUACUGAAAGCUAUUGUUCUUCCCAGCAAAGUCUCCAAAGCGAAUCAAAGUAUCCUGAACGAAAUAACAAAAAUUAUUGCCGGCCCAAAGAAUGCCCAGCUAUAAAUACCCCAUCUCACCAUGAAUACCAAGCACCAGAAAGCCAUCUUGCUCCCAGGUUCCCAACCACACAGCACCCAAAAACAAUUAGUUCCCCAGCUCCAGGGGUGGGCCCAAGGGGUAGUCCUGGUAGGCCCAGGACUACCCUAAAAUUUGGCCCAGAGACCCCUAGGUAUUCAUUUUUUUUGGCCCACGAAAAAAGCCUAGCCCAUCAAACAAAGAAAACCCUGACUCCUCUCCAGUCUGGUCGUCUCCCCCCGUGCGGCGUGCGCUCUCUCCCCUCCCACUCGACGGCGUCACGGCGACGGCGCUCCCACGACGCGAGCCAGCAGGCCGGCCGCCGGCGUGACUCCGGCGCUCCCGCCCCCGCCGCUCCUCCCGCCGGCCGCCGCUCCUCCCGGCUGGUCGGCUCCCGCGGUCCCGCCAGGCGCACGCGCUCAGCCGUGGCGGCAGCCCCGUGCCGGCGCCCGCACGGCCGCGUCCUCUCUCCGUCCCGCCGCGCCGUCCGGCCGUCGCCCAGUGGCCUCCCGCAGGCCACAGUCCUGCUCCCGGCGUCCCACUCCCGGCUCCCGCCCUGCCCGAGCCCGACAGCCGACGCAGCGACGCUGCCAGCGGCUAGCGCAGCAGCGCCCAGUCAGCAGCCGCCCAGGCCGGCCGGCGGCCGGCGCCACUCCAUCUCCGGCUCUUCGCCUCUCCGGACUCCGGAGUCCAGGAGAUUGAGGCAUGGAGAAGUCGAGCAUUCCAUUGCUUUUUCAAAAGCAUGCAGCAAAAAAAAAAUGCUUGUGAACUUCUUGCAAAAAAAAAAUUACAUUUUGAUUUAGGCCUACCCUGGGUUCAAAUCCUGGGUCCGCCACUGCCCAGCUCUCACCACCAUGGCCACCAAUGGCUCCUACUACGUACAUCCAAAUCAUCCCCAGCAGCAUACUCACUGAAGGCAAGGAGUUCAACUUUGUAAACUCUGCCUGCACCACAUAUACAAUAUAUGCUCAAAACCAAGCCAGUAGCAGAUCCUAGACAAUGUUGCUUCUACUGGGAUAGGUGGGCUGACUGUCAACAGCUGGCCGGUGUGUAAGAUCAACGUGUGUUUUGAUUCUUAUUCUGUGAUGAACAAUGUGUGUUUAGGACUCUUAGUAUGAGUUUGGUUCGUGGCUUUAGGCUACCUACCUCAUGUAUAAAUAGAGGGGGAGCGUGAGGCUUCCCGUUAUCGCUUUUGAGAGCAAUUGAGUUGUUAGUUUAGUUAGGAUUUCGAGUUCAGUCGAGAUUUUUGUAAGGAGUGCUGUUGGUGCACUUUGUAAACACAGAGAGAAGCAAUAAAGUUGUCAUCUAUUUUGAGAGUUCUUC